RNAcentral lists this ribosomal RNA (496 nucleotides) under Enterovibrio norvegicus FF-33. Its description in RNAcentral is "bacterial LSU rRNA". It matches the Rfam family "Bacterial large subunit ribosomal RNA", at positions 326 to 830 of the family's 2925-position model. Lineage: Bacteria; Pseudomonadati; Pseudomonadota; Gammaproteobacteria; Vibrionales; Vibrionaceae. The record is from RNAcentral.
GUGUUAGUGGAAGCCUCUGGAAAGUGGCGCGAUACAGGGUGAUAGCCCCGUACACGACAAUGCUUUUAUUGUGAAAACGAGUAGGACGGGACACGUGGUAUCCUGUCUGAACAUGGGGGGACCAUCCUCCAAGGCUAAAUACUCCUGACUGACCGAUAGUGAACCAGUACCGUGAGGGAAAGGCGAAAAGAACCCCUGUGAGGGGAGUGAAAUAGAACCUGAAACCGUGUACGUACAAGCAGUGGGAGCCUCUUCGUGGGGUGACUGCGUACCUUUUGUAUAAUGGGUCAGCGACUUACUUUUAGUAGCAAGGUUAACCGAAUAGGGGAGCCGUAGGGAAACCGAGUCUUAACUGGGCGAAUAAGUUGCUAGGAGUAGACCCGAAACCGAGUGAUCUAGCCAUGGGCAGGUUGAAGAUUGAGUAACAUCAAUUGGAGGACCGAACCGACUAAUGUUGAAAAAUUAGCGGAUGACUUGUGGCUAGGGGUGAAAGGCC